This 466-nucleotide ribosomal RNA is filed under the name uncultured bacterium. RNAcentral's name for it is "bacterial SSU rRNA". It matches the Rfam family "Bacterial small subunit ribosomal RNA", at positions 330 to 793 of the family's 1533-position model. The record is from RNAcentral.
UCCAGACUCCUACGGGAGGCAGCAGUGAGGAAUAUUGGUCAAUGGCCGAGAGGCUGAACCAGCCAAGUCGCGUGAGGGAAGACGGCCCUACGGGUUGUAAACCUCUUUUGUCGGGGAGCAAAGCGAACCACGUGUGGUUCAUUGAGAGUACCCGAAGAAAAAGCAUCGGCUAACUCCGUGCCAGCAGCCGCGGUAAUACGGAGGAUGCGAGCGUUAUCCGGAUUUAUUGGGUUUAAAGGGUGCGCAGGCGGUUUUGUGAGGACGGGGGUCACGGCCGGGGCCCCCCCCCCGCCCCGCCGUUGAAACUGGCAGUCUCGAGUUGGAGAGAAGUAUGCGGAAUGCGCGGUGUAGCGGUGAAAUGCAUAGAUAUCGCGCAGAACUCCGAUUGCGAAGGCAGCAUGCCGGCUCCACACUGACGCUGAGGCACGAAAGCGUGGGUAUCGAACAGGAUUAGAUACCCUCGUAG